CCUACGGGAGGCAGCAGUAGGGAAUAUUGGGCAAUGGACGCAAGUCUGACCCAGCCAUGCCGCGUGCAGGAUGAAGGCGUUAUGCGUUGUAAACUGCUUUUAUACAGGAAGAAACGACUCUUGCGAGAAGCAUUGACGGUACUGUAUGAAUAAGCACCGGCUAACUCCGUGCCAGCAGCCGCGGUAAUACGGAGGGUGCAAGCGUUGUCCGGAUUUAUUGGGUUUAAAGGGUGCGCAGGUGGUUUAUUAAGUCAGUGGUGAAAGACGGUCGCUCAACGAUUGCAGUGCCAUUGAAACUGGUAGACUUGAGUAAAGUAGAGGUGGGCGGAAUUGAUAGUGUAGCGGUGAAAUGCAUAGAUAUUAUCAAGAACUCCAAUUGCGUAGGCAGCUCACUUGGCUUUUACUGACACUCAUGCACGAAAGUGUGGGUAUCAAACAGGAUUAGAUACCCUGGUAGUCCACACUGUAAACGAUGAUAACUAGGUGUCGGCCGAAUCUGGUCGGUGCCACAGCGAAAGCGUUAAGUUAUCCACCUGGGGAGUACGCCGGCAACGGUGAAACUCAAAGGAAUUGACGG
RNAcentral lists this ribosomal RNA (577 nucleotides) under uncultured bacterium. Its description in RNAcentral is "bacterial SSU rRNA". It matches the Rfam family "Bacterial small subunit ribosomal RNA", at positions 338 to 916 of the family's 1533-position model. The record is from RNAcentral.